AGUCUGGUGCCAGCAGCCGCGGUAAUUCCAGCUCCAAUAGUGUAUAUUAUUUUUGCUGUAGUUAAAAAGCUCGUAGUUGGAUUUCGGAAUGUGAUUAUUAAGGUCUAUUCGAAUGAAUAUGAUUGAAUGAUUGCUUCCUUUUUUUGGGUAAUGGGGAGCGAGUAUUUAACGAUAUUCACUCUAUCUAACCAUUCCUAAUUGUUUACUUUGAAAAAAUUAGCGCGUUCAAAGCAGGUUUAACUUUGCCUUGAAUAGUUUAGCAUGGGAUAAUAGAAUAGGACCUCGGUUUUAUUUUGUUGGUUUCUUUAGCUGAGGUAAUGAUUAAGAGGGACAGUUGGGGUCGCUCGUAUUGAGUCGUCAGAGGUGAAAUUCUAGGAUUGACUCAAGACGAACUGGUGCGAAAGCGUUCGACAAGGAUGUUUUCAUUAAUCAAGAACGAAAGUUGGGGGAUCGAAGAUGAUCAGAUACCGUCGUAGUCCUAACCAUAGACUAUGUGGACCAAGGAUCCGAAGAAGUUAAAUAAUGGAUGACUCUCCGGGCACUUUGUGAGAAAUCAGAGUAUUUGCAUUCCGGGGGGAGUAUGGCCGCAAGACUGAAACUUAAAGGAAUUGACGGAAGGGCACCACCAGGAGUGGAAUCUGCGGCUUAAUUUGACACAACACGGGGAAACUUACCAGGUCCGGACACAAUAAGGAUUGACAGAUUGAGAGCUCUUUCUUGAUUUUGUGGGUGGUGGUGCAUGGCCGUUUUUAGUUGGUGGAUUGAUUUGUCUUGUUAAUUCAGAUAACGAGCGAGACCUCAUCUUAUUAAUUAGUUAUUUGAAUUUAAUGAUUGUAAAAGAUUAUUUAUCAAAUUCAAAGUGAUACUUCCUAGAAGGACUCUCGGUAUAUUUAGCCGAUGGAAGUUUGAGGCAAAAACAGGUCUGUGAUGCCCUUAGAUGUCCUGGGCUGCACGCGCGUUACACUGACGAUAGCAACGAGUUUUUUCCUUUCUCGAAGGGGAUGGGUAAACUUUUCAACCAUCGUCGUGAUUGGGAUUGGGCCUUGUAAUUAUUGCCCAUGAACGAGGAAUUCCUAGUAAGCGCGAUUCAUCAAAUCGCGUUGAUUACGUCCCUGCCCUUUGUACACACCGCCCGUCGCUUGUACCGAUUGAAUGGUCCGGUGAGGACUUGGGACGGAAAAAGUUUUAUUAUUUCGCAAGAGAUGAUAUAUUUUUCUGAAGCUUGUUCAAACCUUACCAUUUAGAGGAACAAGAAGU
Molecule: ribosomal RNA, 1257 nt
Filed under: metagenome
Description: SSU rRNA
Rfam family: Eukaryotic small subunit ribosomal RNA
Source: RNAcentral